RNAcentral lists this ribosomal RNA (215 nucleotides) under uncultured fungus. RNAcentral describes it as "partial small subunit ribosomal RNA". The stretch from base 91 to 215 matches the Rfam family "Eukaryotic small subunit ribosomal RNA", at positions 738 to 864 of the family's 1831-position model. Lineage: Eukaryota; Fungi. The record is from RNAcentral.
GGCCUGGCCGGGCGGUCUGCCUCACGGUAUGUACUGUCUGGCCGGGUCUUACCUCUUGGUGAGCCGGCAUGCCCUUCACUGGGUGUGUCGGGGAACCAGGACUUUUACCUUGAGAAAAUUAGAGUGUUCAAAGCAGGCAUUUGCCCGAAUACAUUAGCAUGGAAUAAUAGAAUAGGACGUGCGGUUCUAUUUUGUUGGUUUCUAGAGUCGCCGUA